ACAUCCCUCCCCUUCUUUUAGGAUUAUUGUGAGAAUUAGAAGAGUUAAUAUAUGUUAGGGGCUUAAUACCUGGCAUGUAGUAAGAGCUAAUUAAGUGCUCACUGUUAUAAUUUCUCAUAACUACAGAGUAGUUUGAUAUUUCAGGGAGAAUAUAUGUUUGUUUCCACUGCUUUCACAACAACCCUAUGUUGUAAUUAGCACUGUUCCACUGACGCCUAAAGACACGGAGGCUCUGGAAGAUUUCUGGCCCUAGGCCACAAAGGCCCACUUGGGAUUCAAGCUGAGGUCCUGUGAUUCCAUUUGGGAGCAGGAGGAGGGAUUUGCAGAUAAGGAGGGUUCCUGCCCCCAGGUGAACAUUAACUUUCCCCAGCUCGGCCUCUGUCAGGACCAGUGCCAGGUGGACAGCCAGUGUCCUGGCCAGAUGAAAUGCUGCCGCAAUGGCUGUGGGAAUGUGUCCUGUGUCACUCCCAAUUUCUGAGCUCCAGCCACCACCAGGCUGAGCAGUGAGGAGAGAAAGUUUCUGCCUGGCCCUGCAUCUGGUUCCAGCCCAACUGCCCUCCCCUUUUUCGGGCCUCUGUAUUCCCUCUUGGGCUGACCACAGCUUCUCCCUUUCCCAACCAAUAAAGUAACCACUUUCAGCA
Molecule: small RNA, 641 nt
Filed under: Pongo abelii (Sumatran orangutan)
Lineage: Eukaryota; Metazoa; Chordata; Mammalia; Primates; Hominidae
Description: processed transcript
Source: RNAcentral